Molecule: long non-coding RNA, 3106 nt
Filed under: Homo sapiens (human)
Lineage: Eukaryota; Metazoa; Chordata; Mammalia; Primates; Hominidae
Description: HSALNT0204125
Source: RNAcentral
CAGUGAGCCGAGAUCAUGCCACUGCACUCCAGCACAGGCAACACAGCGAGACUCCGUCUCAAAAAAAAAAAAAAAAAAAAAUUAAUUCAGCUUUACUGUAAGUCUGAAAACAUUCAUAAUAAAAUGUUGGGGGGGAAAAGAUUCAUUCUGAUUGAUGGUGUGAGAAGAGGCUGAAGGGGUCAAAGGUAGAGCAGGGAGAACGGAUGUGGAGGCUAAUAGGAUAAUCCAGGGGAAAGCUGGUGGCUUGGAGAUAGCGGUGGUACUGGAGGUGGAGACAGGGUUUUGAGUCUGCUGUUGUUUGGAGGGACAGCCAGGAGGAUUUCAUAGCAGAUUGGUUGCAGGGUAUGAGAAAGAGAGGGGUCAAGCUUGACAUCAAGUUCUUUGGCCUGGACAGAUGUAGUUACCCGUCCUAGACAAUGGCCAGGCUGCUGUAUUCCAUGCUUCGAUUUUAGAAGGGCCCUUGCCCCACUGUAAAGCAGGUGAAUGUGUCUCUGUGUCCUCCUUUCCCAAGGACUUUCCUUGUCCUCCCCAGACCCAGGCUGUCACCCUGUGUGGCUUCUCCUAGCCUGACCCCUUUAUGAUGCUCAUUGCAUGCUUCCAUCCAAGCCUUGGUAUUGCUAUGGAGUAGAAAUAGAGCUAAACUUGGAGUCAGAAGACCAUGCCUCAGAUACAUUGCCGAACUUUUCAGAAUCCCAGUUUUCUCUUUCAUAAAACAAAGCUAAAAAUGCCCAUCAAGAGUAUGGUGGAAGUGAGAAAACAAGUGAUUGAACAUUGAACUUGAAGAGAAUCUUGUGCAUUUACUCUUUCCUGCUCUGUUUUCUUCACAUGUCAUUCCCCACUGAAAUUUGCCCAUUUUGGAUCUCAUUACCCUGAAGGUCCUGGAUUUGUUGGAAAGUUCCGUGUAAUUCCUGGAGUUCUAUGGUGACGUUGUCAAGUACAAAGCGCUGGCCUAGGAGCUACGACAUGGGAGUUCCAAGCCUGCUCUUUCUCGCACGAGCUGAAACCAUUCAAUUGGAAUAGAAAUCAAGGGAUCAUUAAAUUCAUCCUUCUGCAUUCAGGGGUGAAUAGAAGAAGAUCAAGAGGCAGUGAUGUGUCAUUAUGAUCUCCAUUUCAUACACAAAGAACGGAGCUUCACAGUGGUUAAGUAACUUGGCUGAACUUACACCAGCAUGAAGAUUCAAAUUCCAGUCCAAAACUUAUGGAAAUAUCUAUUAGAGAAGCCUGUAUUAGUUCUCUACCAGAUAUAUUUUCCUAGAUUCAGAAAAGCCUGAAUUUGCAAAAAGUUUGUUUCGAUCAUCAUAGGCAAGGUGAAAUAGAAAGUCGAAGAAAUCAUCUCGGUCAUUACGAGUCCUCAAGUAGUUGCUUUUUGUACUUUGAAUAAAGACUUUAGUCAUAGUAGGAGAGAUAGACUGUAAUGGACUUACUUCACGAUGGCUGCACCAGAGGUUCCAAGAACGAUGGCUUUCAACUUCAACCCACAUCUAAAACACACCACUGUAGCCACACCCUACACCCUGUGGUUAUCCAGUUGUGAGUCCUAUUGGAGAGAUGAGAUUUAACUAGAUGACCAUGACCAUGAAGAACUUCUCAAGCUCUUUGGUUCUACAGGUGUAUGACAGUUUCCUGGAGGGGGUCAUAUGGAUCUACUACUACCUUCCCACUGACAUUAGGCAGAUGUUCAUUAGAUUGGUUUGAUAGAUGUAAUGGUUAAUAUUGAGUGUCAACUUGAUUGGAUUGAAGGAUGCAAAGUAUUGUUCCUGGGUGCGUCUGUGAGGGUGUUGCCAAAGGAGAUUAACAUUUGAAUCAUUGGACUGGGAGAGGCAGACCCACCCUCAAUCUGGGUGGGCACAAUCUAAUCAGCUGCCAGCAUGGCCAGCAUAAAAGCAGGCAGAAGAAUGUGGAAGGAGUAGACUGGCUCAGUCUCCUGGCCUACAUCUUUCUCCCACGCUGCAUGCUUCCUGCCCUCGAACAUUGGACUCCAAGUUCUUCAGUUUUGGGACUCUUGAACCUUUGACCACAGACUGAAGGCUACACUGUUGACUUCCCUACUUUUGAGCUUUUAGGACUCGGACUGGCUUCCUUGUUCCUCAGCUUGCAGACGGCCUAUUGUGGGACCUCACUUUGUGAUCAUGUGAGUCAAUACUCCUUAAUAAACUCUCCUUUAAAUAUACAUCUAUCUUGUUAGUUCUGUCCCUCUAGAGAACCUUGACUAAUACGAUAGGGAAGCCAUAGUGACUGUCACUAAUAUUCUAAUAAAAGAAUUAUUAUCUAUGCCAACUCUGGAGAGCCACAGGUAAGCUAUACAUAGAUCAAAGUGUAAACCAGGGGUUCUCUGAGUGUGAUUCCUGGACCAGCAGUAUGUGGUGACAUUUGAAAUGCAAAUUCUUGGGCCCCACCUCAGACCACUGAAUUAGAAACUCCAGAGGUGGAGCUCAGCAGUUUGUUUUAACUAGUUCUCCAGGUGAUGCUGAGGCACAUCACAGUUGGAAAUGGUGAGGUAAGUAAGGAAUUUCAGCAGUUCAACUGCUGAAAUGUAGAUCUUAACAAAGUGCUAAAUGAAUAGAGGAAAAAGGGAUAAUUAUCUGAGACAUUUGGAUCUUGUUUCACGAAUAGGAGUUCAGAUGAAGUUAGGGAGGUCUUUUGAAGUAUAGGAAACAAGACAUGCAAAGACUGGGGAGGUUAGGAAGACCAGACCUAUUUCAAGAUAUACAAUGGCCUAGUGGGGCUUGAGGUAGCAGGGUGCAUUCUUUUUCUUAGAUAUGCUUCCUCCUCUCUGCUCCAUGGUGCCACACAUGAUGCUGGUGAUAAAGGAGACUGAGCGAGGGUAAAGAUUCACAGUGCCAGCAAGGGCUUGGACAUUGGCAGCCUAUGGAUCAAAUUGUGCUUGCAGAUGGGCUGUAUUUGGUAUUUUAUUGUACAAACACUAUGUAUUUGGCAUAGCAUUAUACAAAUAAAUGUGAACUAACAUUUAAUAAUCAGUUUGGAUGUAUAUAUGUGUAUAUAUAUUAUGUAUAAAUAACAUAUAUGCUAACACAAAAAUAUAUGUGCUAUAUUUAUAUUCUAUACAAAUAACAUAUAAAUAUAUGUUAACAUAUAAAAAUAUAUG